AUGGGACCAUGCCCAGUUUCCGCUCAUCCUAUACGGGAGAAUGUUGGUGAUCAGCGCCCUAUAUAUAAGGCUCCAGGCCUUGGUCUACUUCACGUCUGGGGCCACCACCCAGGAACCUUCUCUGUGUCUGUGCACGGGAUGAAUACACUGAAAGCGUUUGGUCCUUUAACGUGGUUGCAGCAAGCUUCCCGUGAUGACCUACUGCCGAGAGCUGUCUGCCUGGGACCAGGAGCUGGUGUGAGCAUCCCAUGAGGUAAGGUGAUGAAAGUGCUUUCCAAGCUCUGCGAAUGUGGUUGAGUGGUGAUUGCUUUUAAUUUUGCCAGGCCCGUGGGGAAGUCCAUGUGGCCUCAUACUGCUGUGAUCACAAUGCCUAUGGUCAGGACAUAUUCCACCUGCUCCUUCACAUCCUUCACGUCACUAACCAGGAGGGCAAGGGUAACAGAAGUCUGCAGCAUGGAGAAGCUGCGUCUCUGAGCCCUUACAAAAUGCUUAGUUUGGUUUCUGAAGUCAGUCAGACCUGAAGCUAAGUCCUUCCUCCCCACUUGCUAGCUGUAUGACCUUGGGAGUAUUACUUAACCUGUCAAAAGCUCAGCUUCCUCACCUGUAAAGUGGGGGUACCUGCUUAACAUGGAUGAACCUGGAGAGUAUUAUGUGAAGUAAGUCAGAGAAAGAAAAUAUUGGGUUUUGUUUGUUUCUUUGUCUGUUUUGUUUUGUUUGCCUUUUAGGCCGCACCCGUGGCAUAGAGAGUUUCCCAGGACAGGGGUCAAAUCGGAGCUGUAGCCGAUGGCCUACGGCUACAGCCACAGCAACGCCAGAUCCAAGCCACAUCUUCAACCUACAUCACAGCUCAUGGCAACACCGGGUCCCUAACCCACUGAGCGAGGACAGGGAUAGAACUUGUGUCCUCAUGGAUGCUAGUCAGAAGUCAUGGAUCCCUUUUGCUGAGCCAUAAAGGGAACUCCCCAAAUACUGUUACGGUUUAACGUAUAUGUGGAAUCUAAAAAAUAAAACAAAGGACAAUAACA
RNAcentral lists this long non-coding RNA (1025 nucleotides) under Sus scrofa (pig). RNAcentral describes it as "lncRNA (ENSSSCG00050044640.1)". The record is from RNAcentral. Lineage: Eukaryota; Metazoa; Chordata; Mammalia; Artiodactyla; Suidae.